Molecule: ribosomal RNA, 433 nt
Filed under: uncultured bacterium
Lineage: Bacteria
Description: partial 16S ribosomal RNA
Rfam family: Bacterial small subunit ribosomal RNA
Source: RNAcentral
AACGAACGCUGGCGGCAUGCCUAACACAUGCCAGUCGAACGAGACCUUCGGGUCUAGUGGCGCACGGGUGCGUAACACGUGGGAAUCUGCCCUUUGCUUCGGAAUAACAGUUAGAAAUGACUGCUAAUACCGGAUGAUGUCGAAAGACCAAAGAUUUAUCGGCAAAGGAUGAGCCCGCGUAGGAUUAGGUAGUUGGUGGGGUAAAGGCCUACCAAGCCGACGAUCCUUAGCUGGUCUGAGAGGAUGAUCAGCCACACUGGGACUGAGACACGGCCCAGACUCCUACGGGAGGCAGCAGUGGGGAAUAUUGGACAAUGGGCGAAAGCCUGAUCCAGCAAUGCCGCGUGAGUGAUGAAGGCCUUAGGGUUGUAAAGCUCUUUUACCAGGGAUGAUAAUGACAGUACCUGGAGAAUAAGCGCCGGCUAACUCCGUG